This 1334-nucleotide ribosomal RNA is filed under the name Vibrio aestuarianus. RNAcentral's name for it is "partial 23S ribosomal RNA". It matches the Rfam family "Bacterial large subunit ribosomal RNA", at positions 1568 to 2878 of the family's 2925-position model. The record is from RNAcentral. Lineage: Bacteria; Pseudomonadati; Pseudomonadota; Gammaproteobacteria; Vibrionales; Vibrionaceae.
GUCGAGCUACUACGGUAGUGAAGUCAUUGAUGCCAUGCUUCCAGGAAAAGCCUCUAAGCUUCAGAUUAUAAGCAAUCGUACCCCAAACCGACACAGGUGGUCGGGUAGAGAAUACCAAGGCGCUUGAGAGAACUCGGGUGAAGGAACUAGGCAAAAUGGUACCGUAACUUCGGGAGAAGGUACGCUCUUGGCGGUGAAGUCCCUAGCGGAUGGAGCUACUGAGAGUCGCAGAUACCAGGUGGCUGCAACUGUUUAUUAAAAACACAGCACUGUGCAAAAUCGUAAGAUGACGUAUACGGUGUGACGCCUGCCCGGUGCCGGAAGGUUAAUUGAUGGGGUUAGACUUAGGUCGAAGCUCUUGAUCGAAGCCCCGGUAAACGGCGGCCGUAACUAUAACGGUCCUAAGGUAGCGAAAUUCCUUGUCGGGUAAGUUCCGACCUGCACGAAUGGCGUAAUGAUGGCCACGCUGUCUCCACCCGAGACUCAGUGAAAUUGAAAUCGCUGUGAAGAUGCAGUGUACCCGCGGCUAGACGGAAAGACCCCGUGAACCUUUACUACAGCUUGGCACUGAACAUUGAACCUACAUGUGUAGGAUAGGUGGGAGACUUAGAAGCGCAGUCGCUAGAUUGCGUGGAGUCGUCCUUGAAAUACCACCCUUGUAGUUUUGAUGUUCUAACGUAGGCCCCUAAUCGGGGUUGCGGACAGUGCCUGGUGGGUAGUUUGACUGGGGCGGUCUCCUCCCAAAGAGUAACGGAGGAGCACGAAGGUGGGCUAAACACGGUUGGACAUCGUGUGGUUAGUGCAAUGGCAUAAGCCCGCUUAACUGCGAGAAUGACAAUUCGAGCAGGUACGAAAGUAGGUCAUAGUGAUCCGGUGGUUCUGAAUGGAAGGGCCAUCGCUCAACGGAUAAAAGGUACUCCGGGGAUAACAGGCUGAUACCGCCCAAGAGUUCAUAUCGACGGCGGUGUUUGGCACCUCGAUGUCGGCUCAUCACAUCCUGGGGCUGAAGUCGGUCCCAAGGGUAUGGCUGUUCGCCAUUUAAAGUGGUACGCGAGCUGGGUUUAGAACGUCGUGAGACAGUUCGGUCCCUAUCUGCCGUGGGCGUUGGAAGAUUGAAGGGGGCUGCUCCUAGUACGAGAGGACCGGAGUGGACGAACCUCUGGUGUUCGGGUUGUUACGCCAGUAGCAUUGCCCGGUAGCUAAGUUCGGAAUCGAUAACCGCUGAAAGCAUCUAAGCGGGAAGCGAGCCCUGAGAUGAGUCUUCCCUGGCACUUUAAGUGUCCUAAAGGGUUGUUCGAGACUAGAACGUUGAUAGGUUGGGUGUGUAAGCGCUG